GAUGAACGCUGGCGGCGUGCCUAAUACAUGCAAGUCGAGCGAACAGACGAGGAGCUUGCUCCUCUGACGUUAGCGGCGGACGGGUGAGUAACACGUGGAUAACCUACCUAUAAGACUGGGAUAACUUCGGGAAACCGGAGCUAAUACCGGAUAAUAUAUUGAACCGCAUGGUUCAAUAGUGAAAGACGGUUUUGCUGUCACUUAUAGAUGGAUCCGCGGCGCAUUAGCUAGUUGGUAAGGUAACGGCUUACCAAGGCAACGAUGCGUAGCCGACCUGAGAGGGUGAUCGGCCACACUGGAACUGAGACACGGUCCAGACUCCUACGGGAGGCAGCAGUAGGGAAUCUUCCGCAAUGGGCGAAAGCCUGACGGAGCAACGCCGCGUGAGUGAUGAAGGUCUUCGGAUCGUAAAACUCUGUUAUUAGGGAAGAACAAAUGUGUAAGUAACUAUGCACGUCUUGACGGUACCUAAUCAGAAAGCCACGGCUAACUACGUG
RNAcentral lists this ribosomal RNA (497 nucleotides) under uncultured bacterium. Its description in RNAcentral is "partial 16S ribosomal RNA". It matches the Rfam family "Bacterial small subunit ribosomal RNA", at positions 28 to 507 of the family's 1533-position model. The record is from RNAcentral.